This 778-nucleotide ribosomal RNA is filed under the name uncultured Neocallimastigales. Its description in RNAcentral is "partial large subunit ribosomal RNA". It matches the Rfam family "Eukaryotic large subunit ribosomal RNA", at positions 22 to 639 of the family's 3401-position model. The record is from RNAcentral. Lineage: Eukaryota; Fungi; Neocallimastigomycota; Neocallimastigomycetes; Neocallimastigales.
GUACACGCUGUGACUAGCAUAUCAAUAAGCGGAGGAAAAGAUACUAACAAGGAUUCCCCUAGUAACGGCGAGUGAAGCGGGAAGAGCUCAAAUUUGAAAUCUUAAAGGGUUUCCCUUUACGAAUUGUAGUUUAAAGAAGUGUUUUCUGUUGAGGUUUUGGUAAAAGUUCUUUGGAAUAGGACAUCAUAGAGGGUGAGAAUCCCGUAUUUGACCUUUACUUUCAACUUUGUGAUACACUUUCAAAGAGUCGGAUUGUUUGGGAAUGCAGUCCAAAAUGGGUGGUAAAUUUCAUCUAAAGCUAAAUAUUGGCGAGAGACCGAUAGCGAACAAGUACCGUGAGGGAAAGAUGAAAAGAACUUUGAAAAGAGAGUUAAACAGUACGUGAAAUUGUCAAAAGGGAAGCGUUUGACACCAGUGUUGUUUUUCUGAAAAUCAAUUAAAGAACUGUUUAUGCUAAGCUUGUUUAGACCUUUAUCAGCUAUACUGUUUAGUUUUGAGCUUUUCUUUAAUGCACUUUUCAGUUAACAAGUCAACAUCAAUUUCUUUUGCUGUAAAAAAGCUUGAGGAAGGUGGCUUGAGAUUCGUCUUAAGUGUUUAUAGCCUCUUGCCUAUGCAGUCGGAGAGAUUGAGGUCUGCUAGCGUAGAUCCUUCGGGGCUAAAUGCAUUUGUGCUAAGUUAUAGCAUUUUAUAGACAACUUGUUGACUAUGAUUUGUCUUGUAGCUUACUCGCUUAUGUUAUUUUACCUACGCUUAGGAUGUUGACGCGCGUGUGUGCGUG